GAACUGGUUCACAGUGGGAAAUGGAGCAUUUAGAAAUGGAGAGGACAAUGGCCUGCAGCCCCCAGCAUGUGACUUCAAUCAAACUUGUAGGAGUAACAGCUGUUACAAGGUGAUGGCAGAGACCUAGCUGCACGUUUCUCCCUUCUGAACACCUCUGAGCUAUAUUUUGGUGACUGACAGCAUGAGGAAGGCAGAAGAGAGCGGACGGGGGAGUCAGAGGGGCAGAUCAGCUUUGCACUUAGAUGAUUUUAGACUGAUGUCUAUAUUUCUCUUAUCAUGGACUUCAGUCGAGCCAGUCAAGAUACAAAAAUAUGCUAUCGUGGUAGGAGGAUGGCCUAAGAAACUGAGGAAACAACA
Long non-coding RNA from Cygnus atratus (black swan), 357 nucleotides. RefSeq lists it as uncharacterized. NCBI's taxonomy places the organism in Eukaryota, Metazoa, Chordata, Aves, Anseriformes, Anatidae. The record is from RefSeq and is a predicted model, not a curated record. The transcript has 3 exons.